AGUCCGACGCGAAAGCCCCUUCCGGGGGUAAGUAGAGUGGCGUCCGGGUGAGUAACACGUGGGUAAUCUACCUUCGGGUGGGGAAUAACACCUCGAAAGAGGUGCUAAUACCGCAUAAUGCAGCGGCACCAUAUGGUGAUUAGUUGUUAAAGCGGGGGAUCGCAAGACCUCGCGCCUGAAGAGGAGCCUGCGGCAGAUUAGCUUGUUGGUGAGGUAAUGGCUCACCAAGGCUGCGAUCUGUAGCUGGUCUGAGAGGACGGCCAGCCACACUGGCACUGACACACGGGCCAGACUCCUACGGGAGGCAGCAGUGGGGAAUUUUGGGCAAUGGGCGAAAGCCUGACCCAGCAACGCCGCGUGAGGGAGGAAAUCCUUCGGGAUGUAAACCUCGCAAGCAAGGGAAGAAUGCCCGGGAUCUAAUACAUUCCGGGAGAGACGGUACCUUGCGUAAGCCACGGCUAACUACGUGCCAGCAGCCGCGGUAAUACGUAGGUGGCAAGCGUUGUUCGGAAUUAUUGGGCGUAAAGGGCGCGUAGGCGGCGUGACAAGUCACUUGUGAAAUCUCCGGGCUUAACUCGGAGCGGCCAAGUGAUACUGUCGUGCUAGAGUGCGGAAGGGGCAACUGGAAUUCUCGGUGUAGCGGUGAAAUGCGUAGAUAUCGAGAGGAACACCUGCGGCGAAGGCGGGUUGCUGGGCCGACACUGACGCUGAGGCGCGAAAGCCAGGGGAGCGAACGGGAUUAGAUACCCCGGUAGUCCUGGCUUAAACGAUGGAUGCUUGGUGUC
Molecule: ribosomal RNA, 785 nt
Filed under: uncultured bacterium
Lineage: Bacteria
Description: bacterial SSU rRNA
Rfam family: Bacterial small subunit ribosomal RNA
Source: RNAcentral